AUUGAACGCUAACGGCGUGCUUAACACAUGCAAGUCGAGCGGCAGCACAGUAGUAGCAAUACUAUGGGUGGCGAGCGGCGGACGGGUGAGUAAUGCAUAGGAAUCUGCCUUGUAGUGGGGGAUAACCCGGGGAAACUCGGGCUAAUACCGCAUAAUCUCUACGGAGCAAAGUGGGGGACCGUAAGGCCUCACGCUAAAAGAUGAGCCUAUGUUGGAUUAGCUAGUUGGUAGGGUAAAGGCCUACCAAGGCAACGAUCCAUAGCUGGUCUGAGAGGAUGAUCAGCCACGCUUGGAAUGGGACGCGGGCCAGACUCCUACGGGAGGCAGCAGUGGGGAAUAUUGGACAAUGGGAGAAGCCCUGAUCCAGCAACGCCGUGUGUGUGAAGAAGGCCUUCGGGUUGUAAAGCACUUUUAGUUGGGAAGAAAAGCUCAAGGUUAAUAUCCUUGAGUGAUGACGUUACCAACAGAAAAAGCACUGGCUAACUCUGUGCCAGCCGCCGCCGUAA
This 506-nucleotide ribosomal RNA is filed under the name uncultured bacterium. RNAcentral describes it as "partial 16S ribosomal RNA". It matches the Rfam family "Bacterial small subunit ribosomal RNA", at positions 30 to 523 of the family's 1533-position model. The record is from RNAcentral.